RNAcentral lists this ribosomal RNA (401 nucleotides) under uncultured Tissierella sp. RNAcentral's name for it is "bacterial SSU rRNA". It matches the Rfam family "Bacterial small subunit ribosomal RNA", at positions 355 to 774 of the family's 1533-position model. Lineage: Bacteria; Bacillati; Bacillota; Tissierellia; Tissierellales; Tissierellaceae. The record is from RNAcentral.
UGGGGAAUAUUGCACAAUGGAGGAAACUCUGAUGCAGCGACGCCGCGUGAAUGAUGAAGGCCUUCGGGUUGUAAAGUUCUGUCCUUGGGGAAGAUAAUGACGGUACCCAAGGAGGAAGCCCCGGCUAACUACGUGCCAGCAGCCGCGGUAAUACGUAGGGGGCGAGCGUUGUCCGGAAUUAUUGGGCGUAAAGGGUUCGCAGGCGGUCUGAUAAGUCAGAUGUGAAAGGCGUAGGCCCAACCUACGUAAGCAUUUGAAACUGUCAGACUUGAGUUAAGGAGAGGAAAGUGGAAUUCCUAGUGUAGCGGUGAAAUGCGUAGAUAUUAGGAGGAAUACCAGUGGCGAAGGCGACUUUCUGGACUUAUACUGACGCUGAGGAACGAAAGCGUGGGGAGCAAACA